RNAcentral lists this ribosomal RNA (973 nucleotides) under uncultured Actinomycetes bacterium. RNAcentral's name for it is "bacterial SSU rRNA". It matches the Rfam family "Bacterial small subunit ribosomal RNA", at positions 61 to 1020 of the family's 1533-position model. The record is from RNAcentral. Lineage: Bacteria; Bacillati; Actinomycetota; Actinomycetes.
GUCGAACGAGAAAGCCCUUCGGGGUUAUUAAAGUGGCGAACGGGUGAGUAACACGUGGGCAAUCUGCCCUUCGUUGGGGGACAACCGGGGGAAACCCCGGCUAAUACCCCGUAAGCUUGUCGGGUCACAUGGCCUGACAAGGAGAGGUAGCUUCGGCCAUCCGGCGAAGGAGGAGCCCGCGGUACAUUAGCUAGUUGGUGAGGUAACGGCUCACCAAGGCUACGAUGUAUAGCUGGUCUGAGAGGAUGAUCAGCCACACUGGGACUGAGACACGGCCCAGACUCCUACGGGAGGCAGCAGUCGGGAAUCUUGCACAAUGGGCGAAAGCCUGAUGCAGCAACACCGUGUGAGCGAUGAAGGCCCUAGGGUCGUAAAGCUCUGUUUGCGAGGACGAAGGGCGAAGGGUUAAUAGCCCCUAGCCUGACGGUACUUGUACAGAAAGCCCCGGCUAACUACGUGCCAGCAGCCGCGGUAAUACGUAGGGGGCGAGCGUUGUCCGGAAUUAUUGGGCGUAAAGAGCGUGUAGGCGGCUUGGUAAGUCUGCUGUGAAACCUUGGGGCUCAACCCCAAGCGUGCAGUGGAUACUGUCAAGCUAGAGGAUGGUAGAGGCCAGUGGAAUUCCCAGUGUAGCGGUGAAAUGCGCAGAUAUUGGGAGGAACACCAGUAGCGAAGGCGGCUGGCUGGGCCAUUCCUGACGCUGAGACGCGAAAGCUAGGGGAGCGAACAGGAUUAGAUACCCUGGUAGUCCUAGCCGUAAACGAUGAACACUAGUGUGGGGGGAGUCGAAUCCCUCCGUGCCGAAGCCAACGCGUUAAGUGUUCCGCCUGGGGAGUACGGCCGCAAGGCUAAAACUCAAAAGAAUUGACGGGGGCCCGCACAAGCAGCGGAACCAUGUUCUUUAAUUCGAUGCAACGCGAAGAACCUUUACCUGGACUGACAUGCACUGCAGCGCACGGAAACGUGUGACCUUCGA